Molecule: long non-coding RNA, 355 nt
Organism: Orcinus orca (killer whale)
Lineage: Eukaryota; Metazoa; Chordata; Mammalia; Artiodactyla; Delphinidae
Exons: 4
Source: RefSeq, a predicted model, not a curated record
CAAUUCCUGUGCAGUAUUGUAAGUGAUGACAUUGCCUUAUCCUUGACAGCACAGAUAAUAUGCUCCUUUCAUUUGCUAGAUUGGAACCUCCAGAACAGUAUAAGACUGCUACAUCCCCGGCAUCUAGAACAGUGUUUGAAUCCAAGAUAUUGCCUGCAUUGCAUCCUAGAUGAAACGUGGCUGAGAAAAAUGGUGGAUGAGGCCAUACAGCUAAGUCCUGACCACAUCUGACCACAACUCUCCUCCCUGUGGGCACCACACUGGCCUCCUUGGAUGCUCUUACCUCAGCACUGUGCACAGGCUAUUUCUUCUGCUAGGAACACUUUUCCCCAGCCGGAGCCCCCGCUGCUGCCGG